CAUGGCGAACGGGUGAGUAACACGUGGGCACCUGCCCCCAGAUGGGGUAUAAGGGAGGGAAACCUCCGGUAAACCCCCAUGGGCGCAACAAGUGCCUGGGAAAAGCCUUAUGGGCUGUCUGGGGAUGGGCCUGCGGCUGAUUAGCUAGUUGGUGAGGGUAAUAGCCUACCAAGGCGAGGAUCAGUAGCUGGCCUGAGAGGGCGGCCAGCCACAUUGGGACUGAGACACGGCCCAGACUCCUACGGGAGGCAGCAGUGGGGAAUCUUCUGCAAUGGGCGCAAGCCUGACAGAGCGACGCCGCGUGAAGGACUAAGGCCAUAUUGGCCGUAAACUUCUUUGCACGGGCACAGGAAGACUGACCGCCCGGGAAGCAAGCAUCGGCUAACUCCGUGCCAGCAGCCGCGGUAAUACGAGGGAUGCAAGCGUUAUCCGGAUUUACUGGGCGUAAAGCGUCUGUAGGUGGUUCGGUGUGUCUGUUGUCGAAACGCAGGGCUUAACCCUGUGGGGCAUUUGGAUACUAUCGAACUGGAGGGCGGUAGGGGUGGGGGGAAUCCCUCGAGGAGCCGUGAAAUGCUUAGAUACGUGGGAGAAGGCCGGAAGCGAAAGCUCCCCACUGGGCCGCGCCUGACACUGAGAGACGAAAGCUAGGGGAGCAAAUGGGAUUAGAGACCCCAGUAGUCCUAGCCGUAAACUAUGGGCACUCGAUGCUGCGCGUUAUCCGUGCAGUAUCCCAGUUAACGCGAUAAGUGCCCCGCCUGAGGAGUACGCUUGCAAGGGUGAAACUCAAAGGAAUUGACGGGGGCUCGCACAAGCGGUGGAGCAUGUGGUUUAAUUCGAUGCAACGCGAAGAACCUUACCAGGGCUUGACAUGGUGCCCGCGCGCCCCUAACGGGGUUCCGCUAGGCAGGCACACACAGGUGGUGCACGGCUGUCGUCAGCUCGUGUCGUGAGGUGUCGGGUUAAGUCCCGCAACGAGCGCAACCCCCAUCAGGAGCCGAGAGGCUACAGAGACUGCCACAUACCGAACUCUGGUUCGGAAAUGGAGGAAGGUGGGGAUGACGCCAAGUCAUCAUGCCCCUUAUGCCCUGGGCUACACACGUGCUACAAUGGUCGGGUCAAUGGUUGGCAGGCGUUUCAAAUCACCACGGAACACACAGGGAGCCUGUGCCUUUCCGCGAGGGGAGGUUUGCCUAAACCCGGCCCCACUUCGGAUCGUGGGCUGCAACUCGCCCGCGUGAAGCCGGAAUCGCUAGUAAUCGCCGGUCAGCAAUACGGCGGUGAAUACGUUCCCGAGCCUUGUACACACCGCCCGUCA
This 1315-nucleotide ribosomal RNA is filed under the name uncultured bacterium. RNAcentral describes it as "bacterial SSU rRNA". It matches the Rfam family "Bacterial small subunit ribosomal RNA", at positions 94 to 1399 of the family's 1533-position model. The record is from RNAcentral.